CACUGCGAGCGGGUCAGGACUCUGCACUCCGAAAAGCUCCUCGGAAGCUGAUGGAAGUCAGCCCGGUGCCAGGGGGAUGGAGGAGUCGGGUUUUGCAUUAUUCAGUUCCCAGCUGGUGACAGAGGUAAAUUCCUGACCGCGCUAGCUCAUAGCGCAGGCAGGAGCCAAGCUUCUGCCCCAGGUUUUUGCAGAGGGGGGCAAACACUCAGCUUGAAGGAAGCCAAAUGCAACAAGAUGAACAUGGAGCAUGGCUUUUGACCUCUCCCUGCUUCUUCUUGGAGUUUGUUGGCAUCUCAUUGUACUGGAGGGGGGGUUUCCCUCCAGCUUCUGGAACAGAGUAGUGACCAGGAUUAUGCUCAAAAACCUGCAAAGAUUAAUCUGUGAAGACCGUGCUGUGGCCUCACGGCAUGCAGAAGUGCUCCAGAGUCCAAACAGCCUGGAGAUUUUCCAGGGAAAAAGCAGAGGGUGGUGACCCCACCAGGCUUUUGCUGGAGUUUUCCUACCAGGCAGGGGAGAAGGCGGCAGUAAGGAGCCUGGCGUGGAGCACGGGGAAAUGGGAGGCAGGCCUCCCAUGUCCUACUUCGAACUGCCUCCGUUUGUCUCUGUUUCCCAGCCAAAACGUGGGUGUAAUUGUUCAGGCAGAGCAUGAAGCUCUAAAGCCUCGCAGUGGCUAAGGCAUAGCGGGGGGACAGCGUGAUGUCAGCAAGAAGCGAGCUGUUUUCCUCAGCGGCGGCAGAAUUAGCGAGCUAGAACCUCGGAAAGAGCAUUUCAGCUCCCCAGACGGGCAGGGGGACAGCCCCGCGUCUCCCCUUGCAGAAAGGCUUGUUGAGUUUUCUGUGCUGGGCACCUCGGAGCGCUGCAGGUAUCGCUCACGCUGCUGGAGCACUGCAGGGAGAGGGGCAGUGUGUUUGCCACGGGGAAGGGGAGGAAGGAGGGUGCAUGCUCACGGAGCAGGCCUCUUCCCACUUCACAGCGGCUGCCAGCAUCGCUUUUUUCACAGGCAGCUAUUUAACAGUCAACAUAAGGAAGCAUCCUGAGUAGAGAGCAGCAGACGAGGCAUAAAUUAGGCAGCUAACUACGGAUCACGGUUCCUACUCUCCUUUAAAAGGCAGGCCAGAUGUCUUCAGAUACUGUCGACUGCUAGUCGGCGAGGAGAAACCCUUUCAAGACCAGCUCGCUGAAGCCACAAUGUGCGCUCGAUUCGCUCGGCUGAGCGAGGAUCUUCCUUGGCUGAGAGCAGGAUCUACGCGCAGCUGAAAAUACGGUGGGAAUGAGUCAGUUCCUUGGAGUUUGUGUGGGAGGCAAAGACAGAGCUGUGGGUGGCUUCAAAGUGUUAAACAGCCUUUUAAAUUCAGGCCCGGAUUCUCAGAGGAAUAAGGAAACAGAGAUAUUCACCCAGCCUGGAUUCAGUUCCGUGCCUUGGGUCAGCCUUGAGAAAAUUGCUCUCCGAUAGUGGCAGCCACUUCCUUGGCGUGCAGGUCUGCCUGCUCCCCGGCCAGUCCGGCCUCAGAUGUAAUUAAGACAUGGGGUUAAACAGCAAACCCAGUUAGAUGGACCCUUACCUGUAGCAAGGCAGCACCUGGCCUUUCUCUGAUGGCUGCAGGCUGCCCCCGAGGCAAGGCAGAGCCCCCAGCCCCAGGCAGUGUCUGUCUGUCCAUCGCAUCUCACUUGAGCUGCCACAGGGAUUUCUGGUACCUGCUCGAAGCUGCUCGAAGCUUUCCUGCUCUGUUUCAGCCCGGAGCUUGCCAACCCCGUGGUCUAUCAUCACACCUCGGGGGUUAAAAGUGCUGAGAUCUGGUCCUGGGAGAUGGGGGACAAGGGAUGCCGUGAGUUAAAUCACCUGGCACAUUGGAAAUUCAGGCUCCAUCCAGUUACCUCCUGCCAACUCUUUGCCAUUCAGCCCCGUUCUCCUAUCGUCUGGUCAGCUCUAAAGAGGAUUUAUUGCUUUUACUGGAUCAGGCUCACCCUUCCAUUUAAGUGGAUUAAUGCGGGUUAGCUCCAACUUAGCCCCACACAGCAUUAGCCAAGUCAACAUAAAGUUCCCUACUACUGGCAGCGCUGUUGUUUUUUCCCUGCCCUGAUGAAUUUUUAAUGGCCUUUAUGUGCAAAAGCAGCUUUGCAAAAUCUUAGGCUCCUGCUUUCCAACUUCGAUGAUUUGGCAUGUGAAGAAUGCAAUGAAUAUUUAAACCUGCAGUUUGGCAGGGCCUAGGAAGCUGCUCUUUCGGGGACCGGCCAGGACCCGUGCGAAAACCCAGCGCGGAGAAAGAGCUCGUGAGGAUGCAGCAGUCUUCAGCCCUCAGCCCGAGUCACCCGGAGCCCACCGUUCUUUGCAUUCUUUUAAUUAGCCUCAGGACUCAUCUGGAGGAGCUGCACGCGGGUGGAGCUGCGGGUUGUUUGAUAGAUGACUCAGAUUGCUCUGCCGGCCGUAUUUUAUGAACGCCAAAGUAGCUGUUGAAGGCUGUUACGUACCGCUGGGACCUGGGUCCCCAUCCCUGUAGACAAUGUGCAACCAUGUGGUAACAAGCGCCGCCUGCAAGACCUUACCAUCAAGCCAGACGAGGCAGAAGGGGCAAAAAAGGAAGGGUGCCCCUCUCGUGCCCUCCUCGUCCAGCUGGGUGAGCUGUGGGUUCGCACACGCACUCGGGCAGCCACCCGUGAGCAGCUCACUGUAACCCCUCGUGCCCACCUCGAGCCCGCAGCGACAUCCAGGCACAUCGACUCGGCUUCGUCGGCUGUAAAAGGGCACCCGGCUCUGGAGCCGUGGCCAGAAAACCUCCAUCAUCCGCUCGAACACACAGGGACAGAUGCUGGAAUUGAGCCAAGACAACGCGGCUUUCAUCUCCGACAUGAAAGGGGGCUCCCUCUGACAUUUGGAGGCCCACUUUUUUUUUAAGAGCUGCUGUGCAAAAUGCAGCUCACACGAGCUCGAACGCUACAGAGGGGCAUGGCACCGAAACCUCCCUGGUAAAAACCUCUCUGUGAGCUCCUCUCUGAAAGGUGGAUGCAGGAGGAGCACCGUUGCCUUUGGCCAAGCAGCUGCUCCGUGUCUCAGCCAGCUCCUCCUGGCACCAGUGCAGCCCAGAAUGGGGUUUGGGGGUAGGUACCAGCAGGGAAAGGUGUUCAUUUCUUCGGAAAUGGCUCGUGCUGUCUGUCUCGGGUGGCUUUCUGGAGAUGCCGGAGUGUCUAAACGUGGGCAGCUCUGCGCUGUGUAGUUGCGAAGCCAAGCAGCCCUGCUGUAGCCAGUGGCUCUCUUCGCAUGUGAUCAGAUUUAGGAGGCUCCACGGGCUGUGUCGUUAUCUGCGUGCAGUAAUUUGUUAAGUCUGGCCUACAUAGUCAGCGGGGCUAUUCCCUUCGGGUUGUUAUUAUUAGCAGGACUCGGAGGUUUUAAGCCUUUCUGGAGCUCAGGAAUCUCUCUCAUCAUGCAAGCAGAAGCCUAAGGAAAUCUCUUGUAAUCAUUGACUACGAUAAUUUAAUUUCAGCGAUGGAAAGAUAGCCGGAUUGAUGCACGGGAGCGCGAGGGGAGAAAGAAAAAAGGUGGAAGCAGACUUCAAGCUGGCAACAAGCAAGAAGCAAAUCAUCCACCUACAGCACUGCGGAGAUGCAGCCAACACUCUCAGCUGAAUUAACAAAUUGUGAAGCAGACCCUUUAGCAGCUAGAGCCAGACUAAAAAAAAUAUAUAAAAACCCAACAACUCAGGGCAUUACUUGACACAUUUCUUUGCCCUGGUUGGGAAAACAUGUCACUUCCCUCCACGAUAUCGCUGGGAUAUGUUAAAACAAGUAUUCCACGAGCGAUGAAAACACCAAAGCUUGGUUUCCAAAGGAUGUGUCUGGCUGUUUGGGGGAGAUGUGUGGUGUAAACCUGAAGCUGCUCUCGUGGAGGGGAUUUUCAGAGCCCAGUAAAGCACAGCUGCCAGCCAAGAGCUCACCCCCAGGUAGGGCAUUCAUGACAGGUCUUGUCCCACACUGGUUUCCUGGUGUCUAAUCGGGGAUGAGCUCACGCUUUGCUUUGCUUCAGCAAGAGGGCUCACAGCUCUCUGUUUUACCCAGCUGAUAUUUUUCAUGAAGCCCAAAGGAAAUUAAUUUCUCCAGGACUUCAGUUUGGUUUUCACCAUCCAUGAGGUUCAAGAACCAUUACAGGGGCAGGACGAGCAGAAGAUUGAUUGUGCAAACACAAAUCCUUUAGAAACCAAGCCAGCGUUGAACCUGCGUGCAUCUUUUUACUCCAAGCUGUGAUUAAAUUCAAUGAGGCGCAGAGCCCAAGGACCCACGUCGUAAAACCCCAUACCUGCUGGCUUCAGCUAUCCACCGCCUGCUUCCAGAGACGCUGCUCAUCCACAGCUCCUGCUAGAGCCAGCUAAACAAAUUGGAAGUCUCAAACUGGGCUCUGAACAUCAGCUGAGGAGUUUCUGCAUCAAAUCCCCUAAGUUUCUGCAAUUAGGCUGACGUGUGUGUUUGGCUCGUGACUAAGGCCAAAAAGGUGCCACUCGAAUAGACUCUGAGGGCAACUCAGGCCGCAAAAUUUUUUUGUAUUUCUUCACCAGAGAUGGGAAAACACACAGCAGGGCUUUGCACAAAACUCAGACAAACACAACGAGGUCUGUUGGUAUUGCUCUAGGUAUUAGGCAGGCUCUCACAAAAGCAGCUGCCAAUAAUUAGUCUCCUAACUCGGUAUUUCAGAGCUGGUUAAAUAUUUACUGAAGCCAGUGGAAAAUCUGCCAUUGACCACAGUGGAGCCGAUAUUUUACACCCAACCAUCUAGGAAAUGUUGCGUGCUUCAGGAAGAAGGGCAGACAUUCAGCACCUCUCAGAACAAAGUCACUUUACCUUAGGAGCCUAAAUAUGGACUUUACACCUUCAGCUUAGACACCCAGUUUAUCCUAGAUUACAUUCACGGCUACAAUUUGAAAUUACCCAGUCCCAGAAAACAAAUAUUAGACAUCCCGUGCAGUGUCAGCAGUCUGACAAAUAAAGACAACAAUAAAUUUGCUUUCUUUUCACUACCCACGUCACAUCCUCAAUCUGUUCUGUGUCUCUUGACACACAGGAGGCUUGGGAGAACCUGUCCAACAGUAAGAGCACAAUGCCAUCUCAGCAGUAAGAAACCCGAGGUUCAACGAUUCGGAAGGGGGGAUUAAAAACCCCUGCCAAGAGGAGGUUUUGGAGGAGGAGACACCGCCAUCCGCAAAAUGGCUGCUGCAGGGCCGCAGCUCCUGAGCAGCGUCACAUUUGCCAGGCUAUCUGCAUGAAAAACAAGCUGGGAAAAAAACAAACAAACUAUCAACUCAGCACUACAGCAAUCCCCAGAGAAAACAGUAGAAGGGCUGUUACAGUAUUUUAGAAAAAUCAAAUACAUUUCAAAUAAAAAUCUGCUAGGCUUGAUGAAUAAACUCACAUCACUCUUCCAUUCAGUUGAUUUUUUUUUUCAAAGAGGCAUAUAAACUUUCCUGUUCGAGGGGAUAAAUCAAUGACAAACUGUCUGAUGUUGGGAAGAAAUUUCCUCUGCUAGCAGAUGAUUUCAAUACAGAGUUUCUUGUAUUCUCUGCCUUUGAAGUAUCUGGUACAGGCUGUGGUUAGAGACAGGAUAUCAGCCUGACGAACCCCAAAGACAUUUUCUUGUAGCUCAAAGUUCAGAUGGUCACAAACAGCAGUUGUUCUGGUUAGAAAAAAGUAUCACGCAUUUGCUGUGAGUUCAAAAGCUCUCUGCUCAGCACCUGGGUUUUCUGCUCUUCAUGCCACAUCUUUACAACCACUUCCUUCAGGAACUGGCCAUAAAAUGAGCUCUGAUGGUGACAGCUCUUAAAAUGUUAUGUAUGUGAGUGGGUUUGAAAACACAGUCCUUCCAGGGACGCCUCUUUGUUACAGGACCUUUUUCUCUUGUAUGUUAUUACAUAGGCACUCUUUCAGCCUUUUAAUCUUUGUAAUUCCAAGCUAAUAUCGGAAAGAAUCGCUGCCAGCUUGAAACCCAGUAAGCUGUCAAAAAUGAGUGAAACGUGGCUGCGGGAAUGUCCCUGCCAAUUUGUUAGUUUGAAAGGCAAAUCUGCUUGCUUUUUCUAGAUGCUUUUCUUUUUCUUUUCCAAGCUAGUUUGUGAAGAUCCAAGUGAACGAAACGCCCUGGCCAUUGGUCACAGGAAAAAAGCACGUCACAGCCCUUCAGAGCUCUCUGCGAAGACAGGGAUAAGUGUGAGGACUUUGCCCACCCCCAGGACUUUGCUCUCAGGCCCGUGGUGCUUUUGGCCAUGCGUGGAAGCACAACUGUGUCUCAGCCCUGCGGCAAAUGGCACGGCAAAAAGAAACUCCUCUGAGCAGAAAACAUCCCUUUGCUUCAUCCUACAGCUAUUUCUGUCUCUCCUUUGGAAGGCUUCCCAUGUCUGUGGCUGGCUGAACCACUUAAUGGGGUUCUGGGGUUUUCCCCGAGAUGAGGAGUUCACUGAAGGCUAUUCACCAAGCGAACAGAGAAAUCCUGCAGCGAUACCCAAUACUUGGGGCCACUGCACUGAAAACCCCAUUCAUUGUUGCCAAGCCACCGGGGUCAGCCACACGGCUGGAGUUUUACCUGCUUAUUUGUUUAUUUAAUGAGUAACUAUCACUUUGGAGCUCACGUUGGUAAUUUCAGAUUUCUGCUCCCAGAGGGUACACAAACACACACGUGUGUGGAUGUGUACACACGUUUCCUGCCUGGCAGCCUGAGCCGUGGCGUGGCUCUGAAUGCUCCUCUCAGAAGCACAGACCACCAGGUGGAAACCACGGGGGGUACCUCAGCUCCAGCAUCGGCCCCAUACCAAUGCACCACUGCAUACCCUUCAAAAAAAAAAAAGUGGUUUGUAUUUCUCCUUCUAUUUCAUAUCUGGAUUGAACCAUGUAUCCAGCAUCUCCAUUCAGUCCUAGCCUCUACUCUGUCUGGUUUAGCUACUCGGGGUUUUCUGCUACAAAUUUAUUGGGAUUUGAAUUUUGCACUGUUUAGACACAAGAAAAAAAAAAAA
Anas platyrhynchos (mallard) is the source of this 6983-nucleotide long non-coding RNA. RefSeq lists it as uncharacterized. Lineage: Eukaryota; Metazoa; Chordata; Aves; Anseriformes; Anatidae. The record is from RefSeq and is a predicted model, not a curated record.